RNAcentral lists this ribosomal RNA (459 nucleotides) under uncultured bacterium. RNAcentral describes it as "partial 16S ribosomal RNA". It matches the Rfam family "Bacterial small subunit ribosomal RNA", at positions 338 to 795 of the family's 1533-position model. The record is from RNAcentral.
CCUACGGGAGGCAGCAGUGAGGAAUAUUGGUCAAUGGCCGAGAGGCUGAACCAGCCAAGUCGCGGGAGGGAAGAAUGUCCUAUGGAUUGUAAACCUCUUUUGUCAGGGAGCAAAGUCACCCACGUGUGGGUCUUGGAGUGUACCUGAAGAAAAAGCAUCGGCUAACUCCGUGCCAGCAGCCGCGGUAAUACGGAGGAUGCGAGCGUUAUCCGGAUUUAUUGGGUUUAAAGGGUGCGUAGGCGGGUUAUCAAGUCAGCGGGAAAAUCGUGGGGCUCAACGCCAACCAGCCGUUGAAACUGGUGAUCUUGAGUGGGCGAGAAGUAUGCGGAAUGCGUGGUGUAGCGGUGAAAUGCAUAGAUAUCACGCAGAACUCCGAUUGCGAAGGCAGCAUACCGGCGCCCGACUGACGCUGAGGCACGAAAGCGUGGGUAUCGAACAGGAUUAGAUACCCCGGUAGUC